AUUUACUUAUUUUGUUAAAAAAUAUAUGGUUAUUUUUACAAAUUAGUGAAUAUAUUAUAUUUUUAGUUCGUUUUGAAAUAAUAGACCUAAAUCAAUUAAAUUUUUAUACUUUUAUUCAAAAUUUAAAUGAAUAUAAAACCAAAAAAUUAAACUUGUUUUUUGACAUAAUAAAAAAAGAAGAAACUACUUAUGUUUUAAUAUUUUUUCUUAUAGCAAAUAAUAUAUUUAAUUUACUUAACCGAUUUUUUUAUUUUUUCUAUUUUGAUAAGCCGAUUGUUUGUUUAUAUAAUUUUAUCAAAAGUAUAAAAGAGUAUCAAAUAAGCAAAGCCCAAGCAUUUCUGCAAAAACAUUAUAAUAAAUAUAUGAAAUAUAAAAAAAAAAAUAACAAAUCCAAUUUAUAUUACAUUUUUUUUAUGCAUGUAGUGAAUUAUCUAUUAGUGAAUUAUGUCCCUCUCAGGUAUACAAUACUAAAGAUGUUAGUACAGUCUAAACAAGAUUGCAAGUACAACUUUUAUUUUUAUUCUUACAAAGCUUUGUAUAAUACAAAUUUUAAGACGCAUAUGUAUACUGACAUAUUUGACACUUGCGAUGAAUUAAUAAAUGGGGAUAAAUUUGAAUAUGCAAAAAAUAUGUUAAAUAAAAUUUAUGAAUCAGUUUCGGUGUCAACUAAAUAUGUUUUUUCAUACCAGAAAAAAUAUCUUGAAAUAAAUAAAUUUAUUUUAUUACAUUAUGUGUGUUUAAAACAAUUUUUAUAUAUUAUAAAAGAAAGAAAAUCAAUAAAUGAUAACUAUAUAAUUUUGUUAUAUCAAAUAUCACUUUCAUAUAAUUAUUCGAAAGUUCUAUUUCUUUUAUUUCUUUUGAAUUAUUCAUAUUAUUUUCAAUCGCGUUUAAGUAUUUAUGAACAGAUAUCUAUACUGAUGGUGUGUGUAUUUUUAAUAAAUGUUUUAAAAAAAGAACUAAAUGAACAACAAGAUAAAGAAGAAAAAAAACAAACAAAAACGAUAAUAAAUAAAACAUGUGUAUAUGAUUAUAUAAAAAAAAAAAAUAUGGAAGUUAAAGAAGUUGUUUAGGAAUAAAAAAAAAG
Molecule: long non-coding RNA, 1084 nt
Filed under: Piliocolobus tephrosceles (Ugandan red Colobus)
Lineage: Eukaryota; Metazoa; Chordata; Mammalia; Primates; Cercopithecidae
Description: lncRNA (ENSPTEG00000006890.1)
Source: RNAcentral